UGACGAACGCUGGCGGCGUGCUUAACACAUGCAAGUCGAACGGAAAGGCCCUGCUUUUGUGGGGUGCUCGAGUGGCGAACGGGUGAGUAACACGUGAGUAACCUGCCCUUGACUUUGGGAUAACUUCAGGAAACUGGGGCUAAUACCGGAUAGGAGCUCCUGCUGCAUGGUGGGGGUUGGAAAGUUUCGGCGGUUGGGGAUGGACUCGCGGCUUAUCAGCUUGUUGGUGGGGUAGUGGCUUACCAAGGCUUUGACGGGUAGCCGGCCUGAGAGGGUGACCGGCCACAUUGGGACUGAGAUACGGCCCAGACUCCUACGGGAGGCAGCAGUGGGGAAUAUUGCACAAUGGGCGGAAGCCUGAUGCAGCAACGCCGCGUGCGGGAUGACGGCCUUCGGGUUGUAAACCGCUUUCGCCUGUGACGAAGCGUGAGUGACGGUAAUGGGUAAAGAAGCACCGGCUAACUACGUGCCAGCAGCCGCGGUGAUACGUAGGGUGCGAGCGUUGUCCGGAUUUAUUGGGCGUAAAGGGCUCGUAGGUGGUUGAUCGCGUCGGAAGUGUAAUCUUGGGGCUUAACCCUGAGCGUGCUUUCGAUACGGGUUGACUUGAGGAAGGUAGGGGAGAAUGGAAUUCCUGGUGGAGCGGUGGAAUGCGCAGAUAUCAGGAGGAACACCAGUGGCGAAGGCGGUUCUCUGGGCCUUUCCUGACGCUGAGGAGCGAAAGCGUGGGGAGCGAACAGGCUUACAUACCCUGGUAGUCCACGCUGUAAACGGUGGGUACUAGGUGUGGGGUCCAUUCCACGGGUUCCGUGCCGUAGCUAACGCUUUAAGUACCCCGCCUGGGGAGUACGGCCGCAAGGCUAAAACUCAAAGGAAUUGACGGGGCCCCGCACAAGCGGCGGAGCAUGCGGAUUAAUUCGAUGCAACGCGUAGAACCUUACCUGGGUUUGACAUGGAUCGGGAGUGCUCAGAGAUGGGUGUGCCUCUUUUGGGGUCGGUUCACAGGUGGUGCAUGGCUGUCGUCAGCUCGUGUCGUGAGAUGUUGGGUUAAGUCCCGCAACGAGCGCAACCCUUGUUCACUGUUGCCAGCACGUUAUGGUGGGGACUCAGUGGAGACCGCCGGGGUCAACUCGGAGGAAGGUGGGGAUGACGUCAAGUCAUCAUGCCCCUUAUGUCCAGGGCUUCACGCAUGCUACAAUGGCUGGUACAGAGAGUGGCGAGCCUGUGAGGGUGAGCGAAUCUCGGAAAGCCGGUCUCAGUUCGGAUUGGGGUCUGCAACUCGACCUCAUGAAGUCGGAGUCGCUAGUAAUCGCAGAUCAGCAACGCUGCGGUGAAUACGUUCCCGGGGCUUGUACACACCGCCCGUCAAGUCAUGAAAGUUGGUAACACCCGAAGCCGGUGGCCUAACCGUUGUGGGGGAGCCGUCGAAGGUGGG
RNAcentral lists this ribosomal RNA (1432 nucleotides) under uncultured organism. Its description in RNAcentral is "partial small subunit ribosomal RNA". It matches the Rfam family "Bacterial small subunit ribosomal RNA". The record is from RNAcentral.